AGGUAACAUCUUGGGUUAUUAUAGAUAUUGUUGCUGUCAAAAUCCGGCCUAAUGAUGGUGAAUCUCAUUGAAGAUCUAGAGACAUGGAGGGUGUUGUUCGAUCCACAAUGGUGGAAGAUAAAGCACCAAUUUAACUUGGAGAGUCGUGGAUCUGCACACAAAAAGAAGAGAACAUCGUUGGAUUGGCUCCGACCGAGCCUUCUGAUGUCUAAGUCAGAAGAGGCUUUGGAAUGACAGCAGUAAAGGAAAAAAUAUAAGAGA
This 261-nucleotide long non-coding RNA is filed under the name Elaeis guineensis (African oil palm). RNAcentral describes it as "long non-coding RNA (EGUI_LNC011752)". Lineage: Eukaryota; Viridiplantae; Streptophyta; Magnoliopsida; Arecales; Arecaceae. The record is from RNAcentral.